CAGUCGCCGCGGGAAUACGUAGGUGGCGAGCGUUGUCCGGAAUUAUUGGGCGUAAAGGGAGCGCAGGCGGACAUAUAAGUCCAUCUUAAAAGUGCGGGGCUCAACCCCGUGAGGGGAUGGAAACUGUAUGCCUUGAGUGCAGGAGAGGAAAGCGGAAUUCCCAGUGUAGCGGUGAAAUGCGUAGAUAUUGGGAGGAACACCAGUGGCGAAGGCGGCUUUCUGGACUGCAACUGACGCUGAGGCUCGAAAGCCAGGGGAGCGAACGGGAUUAGAUACCCCCGUAGUCCCUGUCUCUUAUACA
Molecule: ribosomal RNA, 301 nt
Filed under: uncultured bacterium
Lineage: Bacteria
Description: partial 16S ribosomal RNA
Rfam family: Bacterial small subunit ribosomal RNA
Source: RNAcentral